Molecule: long non-coding RNA, 4856 nt
Filed under: Leguminivora glycinivorella
Lineage: Eukaryota; Metazoa; Arthropoda; Insecta; Lepidoptera; Tortricidae
Description: uncharacterized LOC125241164
Source: RNAcentral
CUUUCGACAUUGAGUUCAUAAUUUUCAUUGAUUUUAUAUGUAUACUGGCCUUUAUCAAAUUAUCGGUAGAUAUAAACGUGCCUGAAUAAGAUUGGCCCUUUUAAAAAAAUAAAACAUUAGGCGGGAACCGCAUAAAUCUUGACAGAUGUCACCGUGAAAAAAAGAUAUAAUCGGCAUUAUGGAAAAACUAGAAAAAGCAACCGUAUAACCAAGCUGUGAUAAUUUUAGGAAUUUGUGUAUUGUAUUGUUAAUAUCGACUGUGAUUGUAACCCAAACUGUUCAGUAUGAGAUUGGCAUUGUAAUAAAACAACGAGCAAGGAGAAGUUCUUUCAUUUAAGACCAGAACAUAGCCUUCAGUUCAGCAAGAGGGAUCAAAGGCUUACUGUCGCCUAAACCACGUCCACAACUUUAUGAACGGCAGAUUGGAUGGUGGUACUGAUUGAGGAGGAGGAUCAGUACAGCUAGCAAUUAAUGCUGAUGAACUUAGCUGCUGCACUAGGAUAAAACAGCAGAGAGGUCCAGGAUAUGGCCAUGAAUCAAGGAUGAAGAACCCGGCACAAAUUAAUGCUGAUGAUGGUCUUAGCUGAGGCUUUAGGCUAAGACAUCAGGGAGGUCAAGGAUACGGUCAUGAUUUAAGGAGUGCAUUGGGUUCAAGGAUGGAGAACCCGGCACAAAUUAAUGCUGAUUGUCUUAGCUGUGGUGUUAGGCUAUGGCAUCAGGGAGGUCAAGGAUACAGUCAUGAUUUAAGGAGUGUGUUGGGUUCAGGGAUGGAGAACCCGGCACAGAUUAAUGCUGUAGGUCUUAGCUGUGGUGUUAGGCUGAGACAUCAGGCAGGUUGAGGACACGGCCAUGAUUUAAGGACUGCUUUGGGUUCAAGGACGGAGAACACAAAUGGUUUCAAGAUUUUAGGACGAGUGGUUUCUUGGUUUUGUUUGGAGCAACUCUUAUAAGGAAGGUUGGAGAAGUGAGCACUGGAGGUUGAGGGACUAUUUUUCAACAUCAUCUGGGUCUGGUGGCAGUUCAUCACCUCAACUUAGGAAAUGAUGUCGCGGAUCAAGUAUAGUGUUAUAUUAAAUCAAUUCCUUAGUAUUCUUGACAAGGUCAAGAGUUCAGACAAACAUAAGUUAUCCUAUAGGGUAGCUAAGACUUGUUAUCAAGGAUUAUCCACCUUUUUAUUUACAUGGGAUGGAGAGAGAAAUUUAUAGAAUCCUUUCCUUGUCGAGAAGACUAUGAUAAACUUCUUUCAUAUAUGUAAUUUUAGUAAGGAAAGUAAAACAUCAUGUGAAAAGAUAGGAUAUCUUGAAAUUUAUUGCCAUAGAAAUAAAAACACUGAUUAAAGGAAUGAAACUCAAACAACUACUAGUGAUAGGACGUAUUUGUGAAAUUUGUAAGGUGUCAGAAUCGGUGCUCGCGGUGAUUUCAGUCAAAGGAAAUAGUAAGUCCAAUGUACUUAGGAUAUGUUUAGGAAAGUGAACGAUAGAGGGCGUGAAGGGCAAUUGAACGCAAAACUGACGCGUACAAAUAUAUACCGUGGUGCAAGUUGUUACUAGACGUCACUAUUACCAUUUACCACUGCAAACUGGUUGGCUGGGUGUAAGUAUUUCGCUAGAUGUCGCUGUACCAUCUGCAAACUAGCGAAAGGCGUUCUACGUAUGGUUAGUUGUAUUUAAUUGGCUGUGAUUUCUUGGAGAGAUGGGUGUUGAUAAAUAAUAAUAAAUAAAUAAAUAAAUAUUAUAGGACAUUCUUACACAGAUCACACAGUGGUUGAAAAAUUGCAUUUGAUCUUUUAAUGUGCUAAUGUUCUGGAUAGUGUUCGCGCCUGGAGGCUUUUACACAUGAUGAUUGUAAUUUGGUUGUAUUAGGCUCGGAUUCUGUGUGAAAAAUAAACCUAAUUAAAAGUCCCGUCAUAAAUAUGUGACAUUCCAUGUCAAAAGGGUGCACAUGCUUUGUGUGUUAUAAGGAACCUUAAUAAUAGAUGGCGAUGCAUUCGAAUAUCUUGAUAAGUUGAUAACUCUAUCAUACUAUUCAAUUUUCAUAUUUAGAUUGUCGCGCUGACAAUGUUGUGUUACAUUUCAAACAAUUCAUUAAUAUCAUGGCAUGAUCAAUUAGUCAUUUGUAGGGUUCCGUAUUUCAAUUUAUUGUGUGAUGCAUUUUCAUUGGAUAAAGCAGUUAUUUGUUCGGGGAUCCAAUUCUAAAUUUUUGGGCCAACGGUAUAAUAUGUCCUUUUGGUAGAUUUGGUCAGUCUGAAGUUGGAUGUUUUUGCCACGCCCCUAUUCCUGUUCCUUAAGCGUCUCAAGUUGACGACUCUGUGUGGAAAUAUGUCAAUGUGGGUUCUUACGAGCUUUAAAAUGUUAAAAUAUAUUGCGAUGGUAAUGUCAUGGUUCAUAAUGAUAUAUAAAUAGUUGUCGAGCUGGCAAACCGGAGGGCGAGUUGGCUAUUAUUCUUAUAGCUCGCUUCUGCAACACGAGGACACCAUGCCGGUCAGCGACGACGCUUCUGAAAUUCUAGACUAGUUUGGCACAGAAUGGAAAAGGACAAAAUAACUACUUCGUACUGCUGCUGCAGAAUUAUGCUGGACUCCUAGACACCCCUAGAGUAUGUAGAGGACCAUAGAGGACUACAUCUACCUGAGGACACUUUAAUUUCAUUUAAACAAGACUUAGAAAAAGAAAUUGAAAGAAGAGUAAAUCGAACAUGGAACAAGUAUUGGUCAUUAAAGGAAAUUUCAAAGGUAAAAAUGUCUACAAAACAAAAAUGAAGACUAAAGCAAUGGAAAUUUGCCUAUUUAUUACCCUGCCUUAUAUAUGCAUGCCAAACCUGGCCCACUAGGAGAGAAACAUUUAGGAGAAUAAAAGCAUGUCAGGGAGGAGUUCAAGGAGGCUACCUAGGACUGAGACUGGAAGAUGGAGUAAAAAAAUAAACGUUCGAAAGAGGACCGGGGCAAAUGAGCAGUUAAGCAGGUAUUACGCUUUAAAUGGAGAUAGGCCGGACACGCAAGGAACCGAGGACGGACACUGGCCAAAUGUGGUAAGCGAGUGGCUAACCCAGGGAAAGAGAAGAAGUGGAAAACCACUCAUAAGAUGGAGCGACGGCAUAAAAAAAAAUAGUAGGCUACAGCUGGCCAGAAGUAGCAAAAGGAAGAGAAUGCUGGAAAGCAUUGGAGGAGGCUUUACCGUUCAGGGUGGUCCUUAUGAAGAUGAUGAAGAAGAUAAAAAAAAACAUAACUGUAAAUAUUUAUCAAGAAAAUAAAAGCUUAUAUUAUAUUAUUAUAUGUUUGUGCUUGAGGAAGAACAAGGACAGUAUUUUGGGUGCGAAACAGAUUCCUGCUAACUUAGUGCGUGCAUACUAAUUCAAUUUGGGUGUCCCAUUUUAGCAAUUGGUCGAGGGUAACGCUCAAAAUUUGGCAGAGGUGACGUGCGGAAGGAUUGUGUUGUUCAUGGUAACUACUGGCGGUCUCCUUCCUAGGUUAAAGUGGAGAACCUGAGUUAUUGAUACAUUUAAGGACGAGCCCAUUAACGAAACCAAUGUACUAGGAGUUUAUGUACGUCACGGGUGAUUGACGUCUUGAAGCUAUCGUUGUUCGGAGCAGUUAGUAUGUCGUCAGCAAAAACAUACAUUUGUAUUAGAAAGCAUAGAUUGGGCCAUGGACGAGCCCUAGGGGAUCCCAAUAUCUACAGAACCACAGUCAGAUUUUACCGAACCACUAUUUAUUACAACGGAUUGCUGUCUUUCCUAUAAGAAAUCGGCCAUGAACUUUAAAACAGAGGCACCUGGACCGUGGUGCUCAAACUUUUUGAUUAGGACGUUGUGAUCGCAAAGGUCAAAAGCAUUCGUCAUGUCGCAAACGACAAUGGUUACAUGUAAAUGGUUCUCUUUAAUAAUUGAGACACAUGAGCGAUUUCGUCGAUAGGCAAAUUGUUUUGUGUGUAUUAAUUGAAACUUUUCUAAAAAGUUAUGCGGCCGAUUACUCACUCCCGCUUUUAAAACUUUGGACAUAGUGGGAAUUAUACUUAUUGGCCUAGGUAUAGUUCCUCAACUCAUCUUUCUGACUUUUGCCUUUAUAAACGGGAACGACUGUUACAUUUUUAAGUAUGGUGGGUAAAUACCUACUUUAAUAAUAAAAAAAUGUUAGUUAACUGAACUAUGCCUAGGUAGUCCAACUUUGAGCAUUAGCAACAUAGUUGAGGUAUCAUAUACAUAUAUACCACAGGUGUUUUUCUUGUAACAAUAUUUGUCGCUAUAUGAUUUUAUACAACUCAUCAAAGGUAAACCGAGACCGAUAACUUAACGGAAACGGGACUUGAGGUGCACGAAUGUGUAAGAGGUACUUCAUUAGUCAGUUCCGGGCGAGCGAUAGGUGCAUUUGCAGCAGAUAAAAAAAAAAUUGAUAUCUUAGCUAACCGGUUCCGCGAUGUGUAUUGUUCGUCCCGGCUAUCUUUUAACGAGUCCAGAUUGCAUUGUCGCUUGCUGGAGACGCGUGUCGUGACGGUGUUUACGAUUUGCCAGAGAGUGUUUAGUUGAUAACCACUACUUUGUAACGUUUUAGCGUAGUAUUCGCGUUGUGCGAUGUGCGUGUGAUAGAGAUUGUUUAAAUUAUUAAUAUUUUGAUUGUGAUAUAAUUAGUUUCAAUAUCUCAUUACUAUGCGGGUGUUUUUGAGCGAUUUCAAUUAACUGGACGAGAAGUUUUUUUUUAUUUUAUUAUUAAGUCGUUUGUGACCCACGGAUAGUUAUAUUUCUUGUGUGUUUGUACAAGACUGUAUGGAAAACAGAUACUGGCAACGUUAUUUGAAAUAUAAUGGAUGUUAAAUGUGUGAUUUGAGCAUUUUGUUAGAUUUUUGGCCAAUCAACUGAAUAAA